CGGUGUUCAACUGGCGUGUCCGCGGGACGUCCUGCCGGUGGGCUUAGCCCGCAAGGGCGGCCCAACUUCAAAUCCCAUCGCGGUGCUCUUCACUGAGUGUCGAGGUGGGCCGGCACGUUUACUUUGAACAAAUUAGAGUGCUUAAAGCAGGCUAAAACUUCGCCUGAAUACUGUGUGCAUGGAAUAAUGGAAUAGGACCUCGGUUCUAUUUUGUUGGUUUUCGGAACCCCGAGGUAAUGAUUAAUAGGAACGGAUGGGGGCAUUCGUAUUGCGACGUUAGAGGUGAAAUUCUUGGAUCGUCGCAAGACGGACAGAAGCGAAAGCAUUUGCCAAAAACGCUUUCAUUGAUCAAGAACGAAAGUUAGAGGUUCGAAGGCGAUCAGAUACCGCCCUAGUUCUAACCAUAAACGAUGCCAGCUAGCGAUCCGUCGACGUUCCUCCGAUGACUCGACGGGCAGCUUCCGGGAAACCAAAGCUUUUGGGUUCCGGGGGAAGUAUGGUUGCAAAGCUGAAACUUAAAGGAAUUGACGGAAGGGCACCACCAGGAGUGGAGCCUGCGGCUUAAUUUGACUCAACACGGGAAACCUCACCAGGCCCGGACACCGGAAAGAUUGACAGAUUGAGAGCUCUUUCUUGAUUCGGUGGGUGGUGGUGCAUGGGCCGUUCUUAGUUGGUGGAGCGAUUUGUCUGGUUAAUUCCGAUAACGAACGAGACUCUAGCCUGCUAACUAGGCGUAUUUUCGACAUCUCAAAGGUCCGUCGUCCCGGCCCUCGGGUCGUGGGCGUGCGCGAUUUUUACUGUCGGCGUACUAUCAAUUCUUCUUAGAGGGACAGGUGGCUUCUAGCCGCACGAGAUUGAGCAAUAACAGGUCUGUGAUG
Molecule: ribosomal RNA, 878 nt
Filed under: uncultured eukaryote
Lineage: Eukaryota
Description: SSU rRNA
Rfam family: Eukaryotic small subunit ribosomal RNA
Source: RNAcentral